UGAGGAAUAUUGGACAAUGGGCGAAAGUCUGACCCAGCCAUCCCGCGUGCCGGAAGACGGCCCUCAGGGUUGUAAACGGCUUUUGACGGUGAAGAACCGACAGGAUGCGUCCUGUUUUGACGGUAGCCGUUGAAUAAGCACCGGCUAACUCCGUGCCAGCAGCCGCGGUAAUACGGAGGGUGCGAGCGUUGUCCGGAUUUAUUGGGUUUAAAGGGUGCGUAGGCGGGAUGCUAAGUCAGUGGUGAAAGACGGUGGCUCAACCAUCGCAGUGCCGUUGAUACUGGUGUUCUUGAAUGCGGAUGAGGUAGGCGGAAUGUGGCAAGUAGCGGUGAAAUGCAUAGAUAUGCCACAGAACACCGAUUGCGAAGGCAGCUUACCAAAUCGUUAUUGACGCUGAUGCACGAAAGCGUGGGGAUCAAACAGGAUUAGAUACCC
This 435-nucleotide ribosomal RNA is filed under the name uncultured bacterium. RNAcentral describes it as "bacterial SSU rRNA". It matches the Rfam family "Bacterial small subunit ribosomal RNA", at positions 355 to 787 of the family's 1533-position model. The record is from RNAcentral.